AGAGUUUGAUCAUGGCUCAGAGUGAACGCUGGCGGCGUGCUUAACACAUGCAAGUCGAACGAGAACGGCUCUAGCUUGCUAGAGUGUCAGCUAAGUGGCGCACGGGUGAGUAAUAUAUAGUUAACCUGCCUCAAAGAAGGGAAUAAUUGUUGGAAACGACUUGUAAUGCCCUGUAUGCCUUUAUUACAUAAGUAAGCAAGGGAAACAUUUAUGGCUUUGAGAUGGGACUGUACGGUAUCAGUUUGUUGGUGAGGUAAUGGCUCACCAAGACUAUGACGCCUAACUGGUUUGAGAGGAUGAUCAGUCACACUGGAACUGAGACACGGUCCAGACUCCUACGGGAGGCAGCAGUGGGGAAUAUUGCACAAUGGACGAAAGUCUGAUGCAGCAACGCCGCGUGGAGGAUGACACAUUUCGGUGCGUAAACUCCUUUUAUAUGAGAAGAUAAUGACGGUAUCAUAUGAAUAAGCACCGGCUAACUUCGUGCCAGCAGCCGCGGUAAUACGAGGGGUGCAAGCGUUACUCGGAAUCACUGGGCGUAAAGAGCAUGUAGGCGGGUAAUUAAGUUGGAAGUGAAAUCCUAUGGCUCAACCAUAGAACUGCUUCCAAAACUGAUUACCUAGAGUAUGGGAGAGGUAGAUGGAAUUUCUGGUGUAGGGGUAAAAUCCGUAGAGAUCAGAAGGAAUACCGAUUGCGAAGGCGAUCUACUGGAACAUUACUGACGCUAAGAUGCGAAAGCGUGGGGAGCAAACAGGAUUAGAUACCCUGGUAGUCCACGCCC
This 781-nucleotide ribosomal RNA is filed under the name uncultured bacterium. RNAcentral's name for it is "bacterial SSU rRNA". It matches the Rfam family "Bacterial small subunit ribosomal RNA", at positions 8 to 802 of the family's 1533-position model. The record is from RNAcentral.